This 1947-nucleotide ribosomal RNA is filed under the name human oral metagenome. RNAcentral describes it as "bacterial LSU rRNA". It matches the Rfam family "Bacterial large subunit ribosomal RNA", at positions 1103 to 2925 of the family's 2925-position model. The record is from RNAcentral.
GGCUUAGAAGCAGCCAUCCUUGAAAGAGUGCGUAAUAGCUCACUGGUCAAGUGAUUCUGCGCCGAUAAUGUAGCGGGGCUCAAGUACACCGCCGAAGUUGUGGCAAUGAUCUUUUUGGAUUGUUGGGUAGGGGAGCGUCGUGUGGCCGUUGAAGCUGCGGUGUAAACCAGUGGUGGAGGCUAUGCGAGUGAGAAUGCAGGCAUGAGUAGCGAAAGAUGAGUGAGAAACUCAUCCGCCGGAUGAUCAAGGGUUCCAGGGUCAAGUUAAUCUGCCCUGGGUUAGUCGGGGCCUAAGGCGAGGCCGACAGGCGUAGUCGAUGGAUAACGGGUUGAUAUUCCCGUACCGGUGAAAAACCGCCCAUACUGAUAUUGUGAUGCUAACCAUGCGAAGCAUGAUGUGCAGGCUUUUGUUUGUGUGUUGUGUGGGUUGUGGGACCCGAUCUUUGGAGGUAAACGUGUUAACAGGUGUGACGCAGGAAGGUAGCCAAGCCACGCGAUGGUUGUCGUGGUCUAAGCGUGUAGGGUUGUCGGUUGUUAAAUGCGCUGGCUGUGUGCCUGAGACGUGAUGGGACCCCGUUUUUGGGGGAUUUGGUGAUCCUAUGCUGCCGAGAAAAGCAUCGGCGUGAGGUUUUAGCCGCCCGUACCCUAAACCGACACAGGUGAUCAGGUAGAGAAUACUAAGGCGAUCGAGAGAAUCAUGGUUAAGGAACUCGGCAAAAUGCCCCCGUAACUUCGGGAGAAGGGGGACCUUGAGCGUGAUGGGCACUUGCUGCCUGGAGCGUGUAUGGGUCGCAGAGACCAGGGGGAAGCGACUGUUUAUCAAAAACACAGGUCCGUGCGAAGUCGUAAGACGAUGUAUACGGACUGACUCCUGCCCGGUGCUGGAAGGUUAAGAGGAUUGGUUAGCCCUUUUUGGGCGAAGCUGAGAAUUUAAGCCCCAGUAAACGGCGGUGGUAACUAUAACCAUCCUAAGGUAGCGAAAUUCCUUGUCGGGUAAGUUCCGACCUGCACGAAUGGAGUAACGACUUCCCUACUGUCUCAACCAUGAACUCGGCGAAAUUGCAGUACGAGUAAAGAUGCUCGUUUCGCGCAGCAGGACGGAAAGACCCCGUGACCUUUACUAUAGUUUGGUAUUGGUGUUUGGUUUGGCUUGUGUAGGAUAGGUGGGAGACUGUGAAGCAUGGACGCUAGUUUGUGUGGAGUCGUUGUUGAAAUACCACUCUGGUCAAUCUGGAUGUCUAACUUCGGGCCAUGAUCUGGUUCAGGGACAGUGCCUGAUGGGUAGUUUAACUGGGGCGGUUGCCUCCUAAAGUGUAACGGAGGCGCCCAAAGGUUCCCUCAGCCUGGUUGGCAAUCAGGUGUUGAGUGUAAGUGCACAAGGGAGCUUGACUGUGAGACUGGCAGGUCGAGCAGGGACGAAAGUCGGGACUAGUGAUCCGGCGGUACGUUGUGGAACGGCCGUCGCUCAACGGAUAAAAGGUACCUCGGGGAUAACAGGCUGAUCUUGCCCAAGAGUCCAUAUCGACGGCAUGGUUUGGCACCUCGAUGUCGGCUCGUCGCAUCCUGGGGCUGGAGUUGGUCCCAAGGGUUGGGCUGUUCGCCCAUUAAAGCGGUACGCGAGCUGGGUUCAGAACGUCGUGAGACAGUUCGGUCCCUAUCCGCUGCGCGCGUUGGAAAUUUGAGAAAGGCUGUCCUUAGUACGAGAGGACCGGGACGGACGAACCUCUGGUAUGUCAGUUGUACCGCCAGGUGCAUGGCUGAUUGGCUACGUUCGGGAGGGAUAACCGCUGAAAGCAUCUAAGCGGGAAGCCUGUUUCGAGAUGAGAUUUCCUGGCACUUUUUGGUGUGUGAGGCUCCUUAUAGAUGAUGAGGUUGAUAGGCCGGGUAUGGAAGCGGGGACUGAAGACUCGUGGAGUUGACUGGUACUAAUAGGCCGAAGGCUUACUUU